CACGUGCUCAGGUGGAGGAGAUGGAUUGGUGAGCGCGUCGCGUUGUCUCUCCCACAGCGACCCGCAGGGUGGAGUUGGGAAAGAAAAGACUCUUUUCACAGAAAAGCACCAGAAACCAAACAGGGAACAGAACUGCCACAUGGUGUGUAUCAGAGCUCCGAAGAGAGGCAGACUUCCAGGAAUGAGAACUUCUGACUUUCGUGCUCAGGACAGUGGAUGCUUUGAGGGCUGCGGGUAUCGUUUUCCAAGCCACAUCCUGUACGGUGCUCCUUGGAAAGGGGCUUCCAAAGUCAGGGAAGUCUGGAAACGCGGUGCUCUCCGUGCACUCCUCCCCACUCAAAGGGGGCAAAAAACAUGGGUAUUUUAAAUGCUCUGAGAAGUUCCUGUCUGAAGAAUCCUGCUUUGUUGAACCUUGCGUUCUAAAAUGUCUCACCGUGGAAACACUUUUAAACUGAUUUCACAUGAAUUUUCUUUAUUUGUUUCACCCAUUCGCAUCAUGGGGGGCAAAGGAAACACCGAGAUGGCACAAAUCACACGUGCAAACCUCUUCAUCUCUGUCAACUGUCUUCUCAUCUGAGAAACGAGGGCAAUUAACACCCACCUUGCAGGUGGCUCUGAAGAUUAGAUGCAGUGUACACAAAACACCCGCCCCAUGGCCUGGCCCACGAUGGGCCAGCCGGCAGUGAGCUGAAGCUGCUGUGACUUACACAGGCACACAGGUACAGGAAAUGAUACAGAAGGAUGCGGAUACCAAAGGUGAGAAAUGAGGCAGGGGCUUGGCCAAAGAGGGUGAGACCAGCACAGGCUGACUGGGGCUGAGCCCAGGGGUCCUUAAAUCUCCUAGACCAACCCAGGGAUUGUUCCCAGCACCAGGGGCAGAGCGGGGCCUGCAGGAGAGGGAUGCGUGGCCUUGGCAAGGGCUUGGCAGACCACUGGGCA
Leopardus geoffroyi (Geoffroy's cat) is the source of this 939-nucleotide long non-coding RNA. RefSeq lists it as uncharacterized. NCBI's taxonomy places the organism in Eukaryota, Metazoa, Chordata, Mammalia, Carnivora, Felidae. The record is from RefSeq and is a predicted model, not a curated record. The transcript has 3 exons.